This 73-nucleotide transfer RNA is filed under the name Canis lupus familiaris (dog). It matches the Rfam family "tRNA". Rfam says of the family: Transfer RNA (tRNA) molecules are approximately 80 nucleotides in length. Their secondary structure includes four short double-helical elements and three loops (D, anti-codon, and T loops). Further hydrogen bonds mediate the characteristic L-shaped molecular structure. tRNAs have two regions of fundamental functional importance: the anti-codon, which is responsible for specific mRNA codon recognition, and the 3' end, to which the tRNAs corresponding amino acid is attached (by aminoacyl-tRNA synthetases). tRNAs cope with the degeneracy of the genetic code in two manners: having more than one tRNA (with a specific anti-codon) for a particular amino acid; and 'wobble' base-pairing, i.e. permitting non-standard base-pairing at the 3rd anti-codon position. RNAcentral also lists the same sequence under 1 other name. Lineage: Eukaryota; Metazoa; Chordata; Mammalia; Carnivora; Canidae. The record is from Rfam by way of RNAcentral.
ACCUAGCUGGCGCAGUGGGUAGAGCCUGUGACUCUUGAUCUCAGGGUUGUGAGUUUGAGCCCCACGAUGGGUG